This 727-nucleotide long non-coding RNA is filed under the name Triticum aestivum (bread wheat). RNAcentral's name for it is "long non-coding RNA (TAES_LNC014658)". Lineage: Eukaryota; Viridiplantae; Streptophyta; Magnoliopsida; Poales; Poaceae. The record is from RNAcentral.
UUUACUCUUUUUUUAAUGCAAGUUUACAGCUACUCGGUGUUCCUAAUUGCAGACUCAACUAUCUUAACCUACCGAUGAUCUAAUUUGUGGCAUUAUUACCUUAAGAAAUAUUUGCAUUUAAUUUCCUUUAUAUAUAGGGGUAUAAGUUCUUACCAAAUGUACUCAAAUAUACGGUUAUUGAAAAAAUGUAAAUAUUUUCAACACGAACAUGGUUUUAAACGGGUCUUUGCGCCAUUUGGCGCAACUGGUCAUCUAGUGAUUGCAAAAGCUGAAGCACUUGAGCUAUCUAGAAAAAACACUAAAACUACUUGCGGAUCAAGUGCCUCUUCAUCAAGAUAAAUCAUACUGUAGGUGAUGCCAUUUAUGAUCAUUCCCCUAUUCUGUAACUCCACUUGGUAAUUAGUUGAUAAUUAAAUAUGGGCUCAACCUGUGCUGCCAACAAGAGCGCCUAUACAAGGAAUGGAUCAGAAAAAACAAAGUAUACGGAACAUGAACCUAAGGAAGCAAACACAACAGGGUAUACGGAAACCUACAAUUUUACAAUCAAGCAAACAUAUUUCUGCAUAACAUCUGAUGCUCACUCAUCACCAUGAAAUUAGAUGAAUCUGUAACCCUUUUGUUGCUCUUGUGAACAUGAAACAGAGGCACCCAUUAAGAAACAAUAAACUUAAACAGGGGCUUCUAUGAGCUGAUUAGCGUUCAAAGAGGAUACACACCUCUGGUGUAG